UCCCACUGCUCAGCAAUGUGAGGUUACAGAUCCCUGAUGCUAACACAUGGUGCUUCAUUGUGUGCUCACACAGUAUGGAGCUGUUAUGCUCUCCAGUAAUGAGUUGCUACUGGAAGCAUCAACCGUGAUGGUGGGGAGAUGAGUCCUUUUCAGUGGAAGAGGGAGGAAGGAAGGAGGAUUCUUUUCCUCCCCUAUUGCAUCACAGGACAAGUUCUCUUCACUGGAUGACCUGUGCAAAUUAACUUGGUUGGCAAAUUGUGGGGUUGGCUGUCUGAAUCCUCACAAUUUUCUGCCAGGAAACUUCUCCAGAUGUUAUUUCUGUUCUUCCUGCCACUCUUACUUCUGUGUCAGCAGCUGCUCAAGCCUGGAAGCAGUCACCAUCUCACAGAACACAGCCUUUUGCAAGUGAGAAGACAGUGGAACCUUCACUGCUAUUUUUGUGUGUGGUAAGGGCAACUGAGCAGCUUACUGUGAGAUGAAGCAAGAGGUUGAACAGAAGACAGGCUUGAUGACUUCUCUAACCUCUCCCAUGACAUUCUGUACACCAUACGUCUGAUGGAGUAGAGGAUCAAGAAAGUGCCAAGAUAUCAUUUGAAAAGGAAACAGUAGAUAUCAGAUGGAUUUUCAGGCCCAGGAUAUAUGGCAGUGCCUUUCCCAUCAACGUAUCUUCGUGUGUUUGACCACAUAAAAGAUAAUGCAAAAUAAAGCCCAGUAUUUUGG
Molecule: non-coding RNA, 720 nt
Organism: Phasianus colchicus (ring-necked pheasant)
Lineage: Eukaryota; Metazoa; Chordata; Aves; Galliformes; Phasianidae
Source: RefSeq, a predicted model, not a curated record